GGUGCUCAUUUGCAGGGUGUAAAACAAUGGUUACGUGAGUCAAACACUGGCUUCUUGGUUCAGCUCAAUUUUCGUAAAUCAAGUUACACUACACUCAACCCCCG
Copidosoma floridanum is the source of this 104-nucleotide long non-coding RNA. RefSeq lists it as uncharacterized. Lineage: Eukaryota; Metazoa; Arthropoda; Insecta; Hymenoptera; Encyrtidae. The record is from RefSeq and is a predicted model, not a curated record.